This 741-nucleotide ribosomal RNA is filed under the name uncultured bacterium. RNAcentral's name for it is "bacterial SSU rRNA". It matches the Rfam family "Bacterial small subunit ribosomal RNA", at positions 94 to 823 of the family's 1533-position model. The record is from RNAcentral.
AGUUGUGAACGGGUGAGUAACGCGUAGGUAACCUGCCUCAUAGCGGGGGAUAACUAUUGGAAACGAUAGCUAAUACCGCAUAACAGUAUUUACUGCAUGGUAGAUACUUGAAAGGAGCAAUUGCUUCACUAUGAGAUGGACCUGCGUUGUAUUAGCUAGUUGGUGGGGUAACGGCUCACCAAGGCAUCGAUACAUAGCCGACCUGAGAGGGUGAUCGGCCACACUGGGACUGAGACACGGCCCAGACUCCUACGGGAGGCAGCAGUAGGGAAUCUUCGGCAAUGGGGGCAACCCUGACCGAGCAACGCCGCGUGAGUGAAGAAGGUUUUCGGAUCGUAAAGCUCUGUUGUAAGAGAAGAACGUGUGUGAGAGUGGAAAGUUCACACAGUGACGGUAUCUUACCAGGAAGGGACGGCUAACUACGUGCCAGCAGCCGCGGUAAUACGUAGGUCCCGAGCGUUGUCCGGAUUUAUUGGGCGUAAAGCGAGCGCAGGCGGUUUGAUAAGUCUGAAGUAAAAGGCUGUGGCUUAACCAUAGUACGCUUUGGAAACUGUCAAACUUGAGUGCAGAAGGGGAGAGUGGAAUUCCAUGUGUAGCGGUGAAAUGCGUAGAUAUAUGGAGGAACACCGGUGGCGAAAGCGGCUCUCUGGUCUGUAACUGACGCUGAGGCUCGAAAGCGUGGGGAGCGAACAGGAUUAGAUACCCUGGUAGUCCACGCCGUAAACGAUGAGUGCUAGGUGU